GAUGAACGCUAGCUACAGGCUUAACACAUGCAAGUCGAGGGGAAACAACAUCGAAAGCUCGCUUUUGAUGGGCGUCGACCGGCGCACGGGUGAGUAACGCGUAUCCAACCUGCCCACCACUUGGGGAUAACCUUGCGAAAGUAAGACUAAUACCCAAUGACGUCUCUAGAAGACAUCUGAAGGAGAUUAAAGAUUUAUCGGUGAUGGAUGGGGAUGCGUCUGAUUAGCUUGUUGGCGGGGUAACGGCCCACCAAGGCGACGAUCAGUAGGGGUUCUGAGAGGAAGGUCCCCCACAUUGGAACUGAGACACGGUCCAAACUCCUACGGGAGGCAGCAGUGAGGAAUAUUGGUCAAUGGGCGAGAGCCUGAACCAGCCAAGUAGCGUGCAGGAUGACGGCCCUAUGGGUUGUAAACUGCUUUUAUAAGGGAAUAAAGUGAGUCUCGUGAGACUUUUUGCAUGUACCUUAUGAAUAAGGACCGGCUAAUUCCGUGCCAGCCGCCGCCGUAA
Molecule: ribosomal RNA, 508 nt
Filed under: uncultured bacterium
Lineage: Bacteria
Description: partial 16S ribosomal RNA
Rfam family: Bacterial small subunit ribosomal RNA
Source: RNAcentral